CCUACGGGUGGCAGCAGUGAGGAAUAUUGGUCAAUGGGCGAGAGCCUGAACCAGCCAAGUCGCGUGAGGGAGUACUGCCCUAUGGGUUGUAAACUUCUUUUGUCGGGGAGCAAAAGCCGGACGUGUUCGGCUGUUAGAGUACCCGAAGAAAAAGCAUCGGCUAACUUCGUGCCAGCAGCCGCGGUAAUACUGAGGAUGCGAGCGUUUUCCGGAUUUAUUGGGUUUAAAGGGUGCGCAGGCGGAUUUUUAAGUCAGCGGUAAAAACGUGGGGCUCAACCCCCUCCAGCCGUUGAAACUGGGGAUCUAGAGUGUGCGAGAGGUAUGCGGAAUGCGUGGUGUAGCGGUGAAAUGCAUAGAUAUCACGCAGAACCCCGAUUGCGAAGGCAGCAUACCGGUGCACAACUGACGCUCAGGCACGAAAGCGUGGGUAUCGAACAGGAUUAGAUACCCCUGUAGUC
Molecule: ribosomal RNA, 458 nt
Filed under: uncultured bacterium
Lineage: Bacteria
Description: partial 16S ribosomal RNA
Rfam family: Bacterial small subunit ribosomal RNA
Source: RNAcentral